Neofelis nebulosa (Clouded leopard) is the source of this 631-nucleotide long non-coding RNA. RefSeq lists it as uncharacterized. NCBI's taxonomy places the organism in Eukaryota, Metazoa, Chordata, Mammalia, Carnivora, Felidae. The transcript is spliced from 6 exons. The record is from RefSeq and is a predicted model, not a curated record.
AGGAAGAGGAUGCGAAUGGAGGGCCGUGCAACAGCUCGCUCAGUGACACGGCAUUCUGGAACCAGAAUCCUCCUCCGGGGCGGGGAGGCACGCCACCUCCAGAUACACCUGAAACCCAUUGCUUAGAGACACUCGACAGCAAGACAUUCACUCCGACAAAACCAGAGGAUAAAAUUUAAGCUGAUCAAGUUCACACCUUCUAUGAUUCGGCCCCCUCUGCAGCUCCAGCCACUUCUCCUUCUGGUUUACGUUGCAUGCCUAUACCUCUACCCACAGCUUUAUCCGGCCAGGCUGAAGAACCGGCAAUAGAGGUCCGAUCUAAGCAGAGUUAACCACCAGCAGCAUGGAAGGGACGUGAAUCAGUACUUGUACCUGGGGAAAGAUGCCUCAAAACCUGGAAAUACAAUCCCAUAUGCGGAGCAGUGGUAAUUCUCAAAUAUGAGCUGCAUCGGGGAAACCAUUCACUGUCUCGUUGGCAUGAUCCUUGCAGGCAUUAACACACAGUUCAAGGGCUUCGAACAGAGGAGUGCCUCCUGUGGAUUGCACGUGUUACAUGAUCAGCAGAGCUAAGCUUACAGCCUCCAUCUGGAAGGAAGGAAGGAAGGAAGGAAGGAAGGAAGGCAGGAAGGCA